UUUUAAAACAAUCCGUUUAUUAGAAAAAUAUACACUAUGCUCUACAGUGUCAGUUCAUUAAUAAAUAUUGUACAUACCAUUUAGUCAUUAAAUUAACAAGCAGAAUAAUUCAUAAAACAUUAACGCAUUUAAAUUCCAGAUAACAAAAAAAUAGAAAAUGAGACUAGUAAAAGUGAAAACAUUGAAUAACGCAGUCAUUUAGCACAAUUAUUAAUGUUAAUAUACUAUGAUUAAUAAAAAUAAUAAUAUCAUUUUACAGUAUUUCUACAAAACUUUUGGCUGAUUAAGUGAACCUGUAGGGUGAUUGUGAAAUUUACGUGUGAUCAUGAACUUUAUGCUAAAUGGAAGACAGAAACUAGACUUGAAAGAAUGACACUAUAUAAAAAAGCUAAAUAAAAUAAAAUGUCACUGUGAAAACCCUAGAGUGUUAAAAUUUGAAUGUGUGUCAUGAGUCAGAAUCUAACUAGGGUGACUACUUAAUAUUACAUUGUAUUUUUAGGUAAAGGUUAGGGCUGAACAAAAUUAAACGUUUUUCAUUAAGCGCGGCAUUUUUGAUUUUAUGACACUGAUAUUUUUUCAUAGGUAAGGCAUUCUGGUUGAGAACAUGGCUCUAUAGUUGAACCUAUAAGAGUUCUGGGACAACAUUCUUAUAAAUAAGAAACUACUAUUGAAACUAGUAAGAGGUCAUUUGUGUAAUUUUUAGAAUGAUCUUUAAAUGACGACCAUGAACUUUAUUCUGUGUUUUCGACUCACUAACACUUGAGUAUUGCUUGAGUUACCCUCUACCAUCACACAAAUAAGAUUGAAACUGAUAUCUUUCAAUAAAAAGCAGAAAUAAUGAUUGUUUGUUGCAGCAAUGUCUAUUAAAAAAAUAACCCAAUCUGUAGAAUAAUCACUUGAUUUGCAGCAAUUGUCAAUGUGUGUUCCAAUGGAUUAAUGAUGCUAUUAAAAUGAACGUAAAAAAAUAGAUCGUAUAACAAAAUGUAUCAGAUUAUAACAAAGCUGUAAAGCUAUCAUUAUGGAUUAAUGUGAAUAAUGACCAGGUUUUCUUUUACAAACAGAGACUCUCUAUUAGUUUUAUAUUCAGAUCAAUUUAAGUAUGGCACAAUUCAAUAAAACAGACCAUUGUAACAUUUGUGUUUAACAGAAAUGUUAUGGCAGUGUUUGACCACCACACUUUGGCACAGUUAAAUGCAUUGUGCUCACUUAAAAUUAAUUUACAAGUUUGUGCAGUAAUAAAUCAUAACUGGUUGUCAUCAUUAGGUAAUAUCAGUAAACACACAUCACUCAAUUCCCGCAACAUUUGCUUAGUACUCAAAUAACUCUUAGGCGAGCAAAUCAUCUUUAGCUGAAUGUGUGCACAAAUUUUUUUAAAUGUUAAAAGUACGUAUUUAGAGAGACAUGCAAACUGAACAUGUUAAAGAACACAUGUAACACUUAAUAUAUUUUUUGUCUUACAGUGGCUCUGUCAUCAUAUAUAUAUGCAUGUGUCAUUCGGUUGAAUUCCAAAAACUGUCUAUCUUAUGUUGAUAAUUUGUCAUCACCAUCAUCAUCUUCUUCUAAGCAGUUUUUAUUAUAAAUAUCAAAUAAAUUAUGUCCAGCUCACUUUUUAUAUAGAAUGCACAAAGCAUCAUUAGACAGAUCGAACAACAAUUUCCUGUUUUUUACUCCACGGAAAGCUGUGAGCUACGUUACGUCACAUUUUAAUUGGCUAGUGACAUCACAUGUUCUCUGCAAGCAGGAAAUGUCACUGGUGGAUUUGAAAUGUUGAUGCAAUUUAAAAAUGGUCACUGCCAUACGGAAGCAUUUACAGAUCUUUAAAUGGUAAUUCCAACUAAAUGUACUAAAAGUAGCUUAAAUUGAAAUAAAAUGAAACUAUGCAUUACUGUUGUGAAGUGAUUCAAGUUGCAGUGAUACUUGAAGCAGAAAUAUACAUAAAGUGUAGUGUCACUCUCUAAAAUCUCCAUCCGUGGUGCCUACAGACCAGGGUGGACCAUUGUAACAUGUCAAUAAUCAUGAAGAAAGUUGGACCGAGCAAUUAUAGCUGGUGUUUAGGCCGGCUUAUAGUGGAAAACCACCGGCUCCCAGAAGAGCCUUUCUCAAGCUUGAUACCCUUUCAUAUAUGCCCGGUCCAACUUUCUUCAUGAUUACUUGAAGCAGAAAAUAAGAAAUAACUUAUGUUUCUCCCAUUUUAAGUAAGAUAUUUCAACACGCAAAAAUGAGAACAGACACCGUUGCAAAACGUACUGUAUGCAUACGACUUCUUGUGGCCCAAGCAUUUCCUUUAUUUUCCGGGGCAGGUGAGAUGGUUCUUAAUAUAGCUGUUUUAACUUAACUAGAAUUUGCCAACAAUCGACUGCUUAAGGAUAAUAAUGCAGUUUUGUCAGGAAACAAUGUCCAUGUCAAAUGUACUCAUUUCUUGGCUAAGUGUGUGCAAGGUUUCCUGAGCCAACAAUCAUCAUCAGUCUCAUGGUAUGAUAUAACCCUCACAACUUAGUACUGACCUACAAAUGUACUGAAACCAGGAAUGCAACAUUCUAGUUAUUGAAAGCCAUAGGGUAAUCUUUCACCCUAUCCCAAAUUGUUGAAAAAUUUCCCUGAUUGUUUACUCGGCCUAGUAGGGACACAUCAUAAAACUGAGGGUAUCGUGUGUACCAAGACCAAAACCAAAUAAUUUUAUUGUUUUAACCUGACAAUUUGUAGAAUGAGUACAUCUUCUACAUCAUUUUUUGUAUACAGUGACUUAGUAUGUUAAAUUAAAGAUAAAUGUCUAUGUCAGGUUUGGAAAUGAGUAAAUUAAUAUUGAUGGGAGGUGGAACAGUUGAUCUGCCAAUUUUACAAUAUUUGUACUUUCAUACAUGAACCAAGGACAAUAACUGGACUCCGAAGAGGCAUUCCACUUAAUUGGCUACAUACUGAUUUAAUUUGGAACCAAGUUACAGUCUCUUUUAAUUAUAUAUUCAUAUCUAGGACUUGAUAUUGAGUAAUACUCUACAAUUUGACAUCUGCUUUUCACAAAUAAAACAACUGAGUCAAGCAACAUGCUAUUAGUUCUUGAAUAGUAAACACUUUGUCAUAAUUUUUUUAUUGCUCUCUUAAAAGGAACGUCUGUAACUCAUUGACCAUACUGAUAAUCUUUGUCUAUUUCACAUCCAUGCUGGCUUAUAAAUUAAGAAAGGAAUGUUGUAAUCAUGACAAAGAUGCCGGAUGAUGUGCAGGUUUAAACACUUGGUAUUAUUUCCAAUCAAAAUGUUUUUCUUUAUAUAAUAACACAUAGAUUAAAAAGAUAUGGAGAUAGGUGAUAAGGAAAUGUUGGUCUAAAAGGUUAGCAAUGAUUUGGUUUCUGCAUGCCCUACUUUGUGAGAAAGUCUUUUAACACAGACCAGACAUUACUAUUGGUCAGCCUGGAGGAAUUCAAUUUUUCAUGUUACACCGGCUUUGUUACUUGUCUACGGUCAAAUUGAGAAUAAGUUGAUGUAUGUGAGAGAAACACUAUUAUCACUCUCGCUAUUCAACACCCAGGCUGAACACAAGAGUUCAAUCCCAGUACAUUAAAUUCUCACUGGAAAAAAAUAAUAAUUUAAAACUGUAGAUAAGGGAAGUAAUAUCUUCUUCCAAAACAAAACAAAAAAAAAGAAAGAGCAUGUACAUCUACAUUUGUCAAACAAGAUCAUAAUCUAUAUAACAGGCAUACGGUGAAUGAAGACAUACUUCUACCCAGUCCUUAAGUGAUUUUUGCAGGAUAUAUUGCCUGGGCCCCUAGCAAGCACACAUUAUUUUCCUGCUAAUUUUUUAAUCUUUUGGCUACACAGAUAAAGUGAGACCUGCCGUCCAAUACGUUUUAUACAGAUGUCUCUGCCCCGCUUAACCUUUAAAUGGCAUAACAUGUAUUGCGUCAAGAAGAACAUGGGAUAUAAAUCUAGCCUAAUCAAGAGAUUAGUUGAUCCUGAGGAUAUCGCUCUAUGUGUCUGUAUGGAAACAUAUGCUCUAACAGGUAAAGAUUAAGCAAAAUUCUCAUCAGAUACCAAAUGGGUCUGAUUUUGUUUUCUCAAUUAUGUUUGAAUUCUCUGCUCUAUUUGUACUUUGCACAUGGAAGAUGGAAGAUUGUUAAGCAUAGUCCAUUUUUUGGUAUUGUGUUUUUAUUUACAAUAAUAAUAGUGCACUCCCCAGUUUUUGGUUUUGAGUUAGUGUUAUUUUGUGUUCACGUAGAGUAAUUAACACUUGGGGUUUGGUUGUAGCUGGGUUUGAUUUCAAAAGUCAUACUUAUAUGGCGCUAGGACUACUGCACUUAUUGGAUCUGGAAGUCUUAGAUGAGAUCACGAUUUCUGAAGUGCACUAUGAACUUCGAAAGAUAGGUAUGAAAAUGAAAAACAGAAAAACUCUAGAGGCACUUCAGUUUCUAAAACAGACCUCAGUGUUAUUAAUGUAAUAUACAAAUUAAAGAAGUAGUUGCAAAAAUAAUUGAAUAUAAUUUACAAUAAUUUCCACUACAAUAAAUCUACCAUAGAUAAAUAAUGUGACAUGAAUUAGAAGGACACUAGAGUGAAGAUUUAUCAAAGGGUCAUGUUCUUAAAAAUGGCACAAAGUACUUAAAGUAAAAAAUCACCAUAGUAACCCGUGCAAAACAGCAGGCACAUUCCCUUUUUACAUCGUCUCCUCACUUUUCAGAACAGAACACUUUGAUUUUUGAUACAUGGCACUUUUUUUGCAAAGAUCCAUACAAAUGGUAAAUUGCAUAAAUAAUGCUUUCAGAUUGAUUCGGAAGGACACUUUGCAAAUUAUAAGAAAAUAUGAGAAAAUGGCUACCUAUGCAUGCAUGGAUUAGAUGAGGCUCUAGUGCUAUUAGUGAUAAGGGUAUCAUUUACAAGUUAAAUAGUCACAGUAAUGUAGGGUUAGAUAAUUCUAAAUAACCAUAGUGAAAACUAAAGCAGAUAAUCACUGGGCUUCAAUGCCUGCAACAUCUGGCUCAUUAGUAUGGCUUAUCUCAUGCCAUUGGAUUUCUUUUGCUGAAAUCUUAGGACUUUGAUGUUAACAUCCUGCACCUUGUACAUAGUCCCGAAUAAAAAUGUAACAUGUCAAGUGACAUUAGGAUCCUCGGACGUACCCAUGGAUUCUACUUUUAAUGCAGUGUUAUGCAAAAUGUCAUAAGAACUAUAAUCCUCUGAACAGCCCAACCAGCUUUUUUUCUGACAAAUAUUUUUUUUAAAUUUAUUUUGAAACUGAAAAGAAAGAAAAACUCUGCUAAGUAUAACACAUAUAUCUUACUUAUACUCUCCAUAUCAUGGUAAAUCUUUCUGGAUCAGUGCAAAUAAUGGCUUGCUACAUUUUGUAUGGAAACGGAUUUUCAAUUAUUAUCAAGUAAAAUAAGAACAUCUUAUUAUCACUUGAUAGCUGUUGAUAUCAUUGAUUUUUUCCACUGCUUCUACUGUUCCCAUUUCCCUUCCAAUUUUAUAAUUUUAUUUAUUGUCUUUUUUAUAAUCAGUGCUGAUGGUUUAUUGUUGGAAAGACAUGUCUUAACAGUAGCUUAAAGCCCUGUAGAAAUACACCACCUCCUGUUGCGGCCAGCAGGUUGUGAAUAACAUGGCUGUGUCACUUUUAAGUUUUACAUAAAGAUUGAUUGUUUAUGAAAAGCUCUUGCUGACUGUGUUGCAAUUCCAAAGAAAUAACAACUUAAUUAAAAGAUAUAAAUGAAACAAGGUAGGGGCUUACUUUGUCUCACAUGACAGACAAUAUUUGGCAACCCUUGGCAAUGGGUGGAGCUUCUGCUGUCACAUCGGUUGGGACAGCUAAUGGGAAUAGUCAUCUUUGUGCACGAACAUACAAUAGAUAUCUAUGACACUGUAUUGCCUAAACAUGAGAUUAUCAUGUGGAAGAUCUUGUCAGCUAAGGCUGCCAGCAGCUGAAGAACCACAAUGGAGGACAGAUGGCAACUUCACAGAAGGAUAAUUUAAAGUAAGUAUGCUAUCAUAACUACUACCGUCCAGGCACCAUCAUACAAGUGGGAAUGAAAAGAUCAGAAAAGGGAUAGUGCCGCAUUAACAUUGAUUUAAAUUUAAUAAGCCCUAACAAACUUUAAAAUUGAGUAUUGGGAAAGUGCUUUUAUAAUUUCAUUUGGUACAGAACAGUCAACAGGAAGUAAGAACGGGUAAAUGAAAGAAGAAAAUGAAAGCCCAAAGGAAAGACACAAGGAUAAACAUUUUAUUGAUACGGUGCAAAAAGAGCAUGGAAAAAGAACACAGUGUGCAAGAGAAAGUGAAUCAGAGCCAAAAUAUUAGGGUUCUAGGAACACAAAACAUUCAUAGAACUCAUCUAUUUUGAUGUGGUGUUACCGGGCAUAACAAGUCGUCGACAUGGAACCAAAAUAUAAAAUUGUUUAAAUGCAUGUUUUGAAAAAAGUAAGUAGUUUAAAAAGACAGAAGGAAAACAUCUGUCACAGAUGUAUGGGCCUCACAGAGAUGCGCUUUGCAACAAAUUUAAAAAGUCAUGCAUACAAAUUGACUAAUAUAAUUAGUCACACAUAUAAUGCCAAUUACAAUGAUUAAUGACAACCUGCAUGUUUUAGCCUAUGAUGAAGGGCCAUAGUUUACAAAACAUGUUGUAUAUCGAUAGACUGAUAGCUCCAAAGAGGGACACUUUAAUUUUAGUGGUGGAAGUGGGGAUGUGGCCAGUGGCAGGUUGCUCAGAGAAAUUUUAGGCGACUUACUAAUAACAAUUUAUGCAACUAAAAUGUAAUUUAGAACAUUAACAAUAUGUCUUAUUUACACAGACUGAUUUCUAAACACAGUUAUUGUAGUUUAAAGACACAUUACUGUGAGUAUUAUGGCUUUGGAGCUCUGUUAUACAAUCGGAUACACCAACAAUAUGGAGCUCCUAUAAAAGAGGGAUAUUAGGAAAGAAAAGAGGGAUAUUAGGAAAGAAAAGAGGGACAGAUGGAUUUAGGCUUAAAGUGGGGACUGCCUCUUCUAAAUAGGGACAUUUGUUAGGUAGGUUAUUACUGCGCUCUGCUGUUUACAACCCUCUAAACAUCAAUGAUACUGCCCUCUGCAGAUAUCACUACAAAAAUAGGGGAACAGGCUUGACACAAAGACCGUUUAUCAAUGUCCCAGCAUAUAAAUGACAGAUAAUUUGGGAUCUCACAGUGAUCAUGAUCAGUUUCCUCUCACAGAAUAUGAACUGACAAAUGCCUAACAUAACAGCACAACAUGACAUAAUAGCACCAGAUAACAGCACAAUACGUGUAGAAAUAAUUGUUGUAAGCUAACAGUGGUGCAAGAUUCAGGCGAAUACAGACUGUUGUUUUAUAUCUAAAAUCAUUGGGUAGGUAGUUUGCACACACCUGUCAAGGUGAGUUACUGCUGAACAUUUAUUUAGGUUUCAGGGCUGUCCACAGAAUAAACACCAGACCUAACACUUACAAUAUCAGGAAUAUUUGGAAGAUCCAACUAUUUUGAUCAAUUUUUCUGUGUAAAAAAGAGUGCAUUUUAAAGUCCAAAACAUAAAUAUAGUUAUUGAAAACUCUAUGUUCACAAUAAGUUUUCAGUUUGGACAAGUGCUGUCAAGAUAUUGCCAGUGCAGUGAUUUUAUAAUAGAAAGACCCUUUUAUAGAACUUAAAUCAAAGAAAACGGCAUUAUCUAAGACAAAAGACAUCUGCAAUUAUUUUUCCCCAAGUGAAAUCCACAAUUACUGAGCGAAGGCAAUGCAUAAAUAUCGUCUUUUAAGAAACUUAGCAGAAUGUGUUUUUAGUUAAAUUUCUGGCACAACUAUCCGUACAAUAAAAGCUGGCAUUUCCGAGUCAUGCAGCGAAAUGAUAACAUUUCAAACAAUUUCAGUGCUUUUCAUUUUCUACAUAUUCACUGCUCCUAGGCAUACUUUUUCGUUGCAAUUUAAAAUACAAUAAUGUCUCUCUUUCUUUAAACAUGCUAAGUGUGUACAAAGAUUAGUUAAAGGAGCACUAUAGGGUGAGGAACACAAACACGUAUUCCUGACCCUAUUGUGUUAAGAACCACUAGCUAACACCCCUGAAUAUAGUAAAAUCAUACAUUUAUUCCAGUCUGCUGCCUCCCUGGCUGACUUCAUCAGAAGUGGUGAUCUCAGCCAAUCGCAAUGCUUUCCCAUUGCUUGAGAUUGUCAAGGAGGCAGAUCCGGGGCACAGCCAGCACAAGCCAAACAGGGCGUUGGCCCAUCAGCAUCUCUUCGUAGAGAUGCAUUGAAUCAAUGCAUCUCUAUGAGAAAAAUUCAGUCUCUCCAUGCAGAGGGUGAAGACACUGAAUGUCAGCCUCAGGAAGCAUGGCUAGUAGCCAUCUGAGGAGUGACCAGUGGAGGUAUCCCUAGGCUGUAAUGUAAACACUGCAUUUUCUCUGAAAAAAACUGUGUUUACUGCAAAAAGCCUGAAGGAACUGACUCAAGUCACCAGAACAACUGCAGCUUAAUUUAAUUGUUCUGGUGAGUAUAGUGUCCCUUUAACCUGUUUCAUUUAAAACAAAACUAAUGACUUAUUGAAUGUUACUCAGAAUUUGAUUACACUGAUGGUGCCUGUGCUUAAAUAAACAAUUCAAACACCAAAAGCACUUUAGCUUGCUGAAGUACUUUAUGUGUCUACAGUGUGUCAGCUUUUUUCAUUUUAAAAAGCAAUGCAGAUUUAAAAAAAAGGUUCAUAAUUUAAACAUGUUACACACCCAUGUCUGUCAAUCGGGCAACCGGUUCUUUAGAUUCCUGGUUUGUGUAUAUCAGUGGAGCUAAUCAAGAGGCAGGUGAUUGCCUGGUACAAAUUCCUUGCAAAGCCUUCUCAUUGAGCUGCAUUUGUAAGUCUGUGAUUGGAAAGCCACUGAAAUUCUGUGCUGGGGAAAAAGGGGAGGGCUUUAAAAGGCUGCAGACAGCUAUUCUGUAGCUUUUGGAAAUUAAAUUUGUGAAACAUAACACUAAUGUUGAUAAAGCAAAAAUCUUGUUGCUACAUUAUUGAAGACUAAUGUAUUAUCAAUUGCACUAGAGUACCAAAAAAAAAGAAAUCACUAUGGCCAAACCAAACCGAACAGAACUAUACAUUCAAGUUGCCAUUCCAAAUACUACUUUACAGAAAUAGUACAUAGAAUAGUUAUCCAAUGGAAGUAGGAAAGGCUAACAUACGAAUUCAAGAAGCCUUGAGAACCCAGAAGAAUAAAUAAGCAAACUUAGUCUGGGGUUUCCUAAUGGGCCAGUUUGUUCUUAUCAUUAAAUGGACUACUCUGCUGUUAUCACAAUCUGUUUUUUUUGGUCCCAGUGGGAUUUCAAACCUCCAGAAAUUGCCAACUUUUUUUUUAGCCUGAAAAAUUUAGUAAAUUGCUUCUCUGUUUUUAAGUUAAUUUAAUUUUCAUGUAUAAAACAUAUUCAAUAUCUAAUUUCUCUGAAUUAAUUCUUUGAUCAGGCUCCAGUUUUUAUUUCUCUGUUGCUCUAGAGUUCUAAAAAGAGCAUUUGAGAACACGGGAGCAUUUUUAAAUCUUGUAAAAAUUCAUGUAAGGUAUUCUGAAAAUAUCCACUGAUGGGGAAGCUUUAGGAAUAACAAUGUGAACAUCUUCCUUAUAGCAAAGCCUAAAACACACAGUUUACUAAUGUACCUAACUCAGUUCUGUAUAGAUUAAAAGAAUACCCCAAGUACCAUAACCACUGUAGGGCACUCUAGUUGUUGUUUUAUUGCCAGGAUCUCCUUGGUGCCUCAUUCCAUUGCAAGUAGUUAAAUUAUUUUAGAACCUUUUGUCUUCUUACAUGGAGUCCACUUUGCGCUGCUCCCUACCUCCAAUACUUGUCAGACAGGAAAAGUUCCUGUUUAGGAACUUCUGUUAGAUCACCUAAGCUAAGGCCUGCAGGGCUAGCUCAAUGGCUGAGAAUCAUCUGAUUGCUCUAAGUCAAUGAGCUAAGCUGUGCAUCACCAGGCUCAGCUCAGAUAGAGAGAUUUUGCCUCUCUGGCUCACGUAGUGGAGUCAAGGAGCAGCGCCCAGCAGACAUCUGGUAAGAAGUCAAACAAUUUUAAAAUGAUUUGCCACCUUACAAUGUGAUUUUUUUAACUGCACAUACAGAUCAUGAACAAAAAUAAUUUUAUUCACUACAAAAGGUGCUUUGGGGAUCAAUGCUUUAGUGACCAAAACUGCAGUGUUGUUAUAGAUGCAAAGUACUGUAACACAAAACAUAUAAUUAUAAUGUGCCUGAUCCUCAAAUAUAGUGUCACC
RNAcentral lists this long non-coding RNA (10200 nucleotides) under Pelobates cultripes (western spadefoot toad). Lineage: Eukaryota; Metazoa; Chordata; Amphibia; Anura; Pelobatidae. The record is from RNAcentral.